AACCCUGGCGGCUGGUCUGAGAGGAUGAUCAGCCACACUGGGACUGAGACACGGCCCAGACUCCUACGGGAGGCAGCAGUGGGGAAUAUUGGACAAUGGGCGCAAGCCUGAUCCAGCAAUGCCGCGUGGGUGAAGAAGGUCUUCGGAUUGUAAAGCCCUUUCGGCGGGGACGAUGAUGACGGUACCCGCAGAAGAAGCCCCGGCUAACUUCGUGCCAGCAGCCGCGGUAAUACGAAGGGGGCUAGCGUUGCUCGGAAUGACUGGGCGUAAAGGGCGCGUAGGCGGUUUAUUUAGUUAGGCGUGAAAUUCCUGGGCUCAACCUGGGGACUGCGCUUAAUACAGGUAGACUUAGUUCGGAAGAAGGUCGUGGAAUUCCCAGUGUAGAGGUGAAAUUCGUA
RNAcentral lists this ribosomal RNA (398 nucleotides) under uncultured bacterium. Its description in RNAcentral is "bacterial SSU rRNA". It matches the Rfam family "Bacterial small subunit ribosomal RNA", at positions 276 to 692 of the family's 1533-position model. The record is from RNAcentral.